This 384-nucleotide ribosomal RNA is filed under the name uncultured bacterium. RNAcentral describes it as "bacterial SSU rRNA". It matches the Rfam family "Bacterial small subunit ribosomal RNA", at positions 524 to 906 of the family's 1533-position model. The record is from RNAcentral.
UACAGAGGUCCCAAGCGUUGUUCGGAUUCACUGGGCGUAAAGGGUGCGUAGGCGGUCGGGUAAGUCUGAUGUGAAAUCCCGCAGCUUAACUGCGGAACGGCAUUGGAUACUAUUCGGCUUGAGGAGUGGAGGGGAGACUGGAAUUCUCGGUGUAGCAGUGAAAUGCGUAGAUAUCGAGAGGAACACCUGUGGCGAAGGCGAGUCUCUGGACACUUCCUGACGCUGAGGCACGAAAGCCAGGGGAGCAAACGGGAUUAGAUACCCCGGUAGUCCUGGCCCUAAACGGUGCGCAUUUGCUGUGAGCGGAAUCGACCCCGCUCGUGGCGAAGCUAACGCGUUAAAUGCGCCGCCUGGGAAGUACGGCCGCAAGGUUAAAACUCAAAG